GCCGGGCAUGGUGGCACGUGCCUGUAAUCCCAGCUACUUGGGAGGCUGAGGCAGGAGAAUCGCUUGAACCCGGGAGGCAGAGGUUGCAGUGAGCUGAGAUUAUGCCACUGCACUCCAGCCUGGGCAAUAGAGUGAGACUCUGUCUCAA
RNAcentral lists this non-coding RNA (148 nucleotides) under Gorilla gorilla gorilla (western lowland gorilla). The record is from Rfam by way of RNAcentral. Lineage: Eukaryota; Metazoa; Chordata; Mammalia; Primates; Hominidae.